GAUGAACGCUAGCGAUAGGCCUAACACAUGCAAGUCGAGGGGCAUCACAUGAAGUAGCAAUACGGAUGGUGGCGACCGGCGCACGGGUGAGUAACACGUAUGCAACCUGCCUUCAACAAGGGGAUAACCCGUUGAAAGACGGACUAAUACCCUAUAACACAGGGGUCCCGCAUGGGAAUAUUUGUUAAAGGACAACCGGUUGAAGAUGGGCAUGCGUUCCAUUAGCUAGUUGGCGGGGUAACGGCCCACCAAGGCAACGGAUGGAUAGGGGGAACUGAGAGGUUUAUCCCCCACACUGGUACUGAGACACGGACCAGACUCCUACGGGAGGCAGCAGUGAGGAAUAUUGGUCAAUGGACGCAAGUCUGAACCAGCCACGUCGCGUGAAGGAAGACGGCCCUACGGGUUGUAAAGCUCUUUCGCACGCGACGAUGAUGACGGUAGCGUGAGAAGAAGCCCCGGCUAACUUCGUGCCAGCACCGCGGUAAGUACGCAGCGA
Molecule: ribosomal RNA, 499 nt
Filed under: uncultured bacterium
Lineage: Bacteria
Description: bacterial SSU rRNA
Rfam family: Bacterial small subunit ribosomal RNA
Source: RNAcentral